GAGAGGGGUGUGCAUGAAGUCGUGGUCAUCUCUGGGAUUACAGCUGUAGGGUCGGGCCCUGCAGCUCUGUUUCGUCUUUACUCCUUUCCUCCUUUCCACAACCCCCACCCCUCCCCCUCUUUAUUGUUCUUUAUCUCUUCUUCUCACUCCCCUCCUCCCCACCCGACACCCCCUACUCUUCUCUCCCCAAAAGUAAUCAUUCCAAUCUAUCAUCACCACCCUUUCCCUCCUCUCCUCAUCUCCAUCUCCACAUCCCCCCUUGGAAGAAGCCGAGACUUGUCCGGAGAGAGAGUUCUCUGAAAGACUAGAGAGAGGUGGCACAAAGUGGGAAGCUUUUCUGUUGAGGGGAAUGUUGUCUGGCUCGAGGUCUAUAUCCCUGCAGAGUUUUUUUUUCCCCUACCUACAUGUCUCCUGGUGAAAGAAAUCUCGGACCAGGCUUCAUUCCCCCCAAUCGCAGCUUCCAUCAUCUCCACCUCCAAGAUCGGCAGAUCGCCAACUUUUCUGGUUAGUAAUAACAGUCUGAGGGAUCUAUCUGCAGGUGGGUGUGACUUCGCUCUCUUCUUUCUUGUUUUGGAUCUUGAUAUGCUACUGUUCAGUCAUAGUUGCCAAAAUUCCCGAUCCUUUUGUUUUUUUGUGAUGAUUAUGUGAGAGAAUGAGAAGGAGGGGGAGCAGAUUGGUGCAAUGAUGGUGGAUUUUGACCUCUUCGCUCUUAUUCCUUCGUCUGUUCCUUUAUUUCCCUCUUUUCCAGUCCUGACAGAAAGGGAAAAAAAGGUUUUCAUCAUUACCUUUUUGAAGGAAUCAUAUCCUUUUCUUUUUUUUUUUCAUAUAAAAAUUUUUCCCAUUCUCCUUAAGAAAAAAUAAUGCUUCUUCAUCUUUUUCGUGGUUAGCAUGCUUAUUUUUCAUGGAGCUUUGGAUUUGAUAGGGAUUCGAAGACUAGUUCCAAAAUAUCACCUUAUUUUUAUUUAUUCUUUGGAGUUUUCCUCUUUUUUCUCCUUGCUUGUCUCCACAAGGCACAAAGAAACGAAUACUGAAAUUACAGUUGUUAGAUAAAAGGGAAGUAUUACUUUGGUGGGUGCUUAUUUGCUAUGGAUCCUUUCGAAGCCUUUGGAAUAUUUGCUGUAAUUAAUGUACAACAAAUGAUUUUCAUCUUCAAAUAAAUAAAAGAAAUCCUUAGGUUCGCUAUAGUUAAAUGUCUUGACGAUGCAACCUUUGAUCUAUUGUGGUGGUGGCCUCGUGCUUAUAGGAAAAGGUGAAAGUAUUCUUUAUUACUUUGUUUUUAUGCACUUAAUUAUUUUGUCAUUUAUUAUGUGAUACAACUACUUCCAACGAGUCACAAGCAUGUAUUUGCCGUAACACACCUCUUUGCUUUAGAGAUCUUCUGAGGCAAAGCUUGAAUCCGGUGGGUUCAUGCAGGUAAAUGAUCUUUUGUAGGUUUUCCUUUCACCGGUCCUACAUUUUCCAUUUAAUUUCGUAUUGCACCCCAUAUUAUCUCAUUAUCUCUCUCUUACCAUAUGAUCAUUGCACAACCAGUGGAGAAUGCAUGCAAUUUUUUUUGCUUGAGUAAACUUAUGUGUACAAUUUGGCAACAACCAAGGAUCAACGAUUUAUUGGAAACUGAAAUUGAUUAUAAUGGUGGUGUAAAUAAUAGAUGCAAGCAUCUUGUGAUUCGUUAAAAAUAAUAAAAUGGAAUUACCUUUUGUCAUGUGUACUUGUUUCACGCGUUUGCGUGCUUAUUUUAAUGUACAUGUUUCAUAUGUCAAGAUCUUUUCUAAUAUUUCGAAUAGAAUACAAUUACCAUGGCACAUCCAAGCAAAAAGCUUUUGAACUAUAGCAUAUCGCACAAGUUUGGCUAUGGAUGAGCAUUGUUGUCUCGAGCCUACUUAUUAUUGAAGGCGAAGUGCCAUUAAUUUUUAAUUUCAUAGUUAUCAUGAAUCUUUGCAUGCCGCGUGUUUGCUUAGAGUCUUUAGGACAGUGGUAACACAUGAUUAUUAUGUCUGCAGGCCUAGUAAACUUGAAAUCAAAUUCUAAAUUCCCAAAUAUGAUAUGAGAAAGUUCUGUAAGACAAGCUCCACCUUCAGUGGAGUUGAGUGUCACAAUAGGUGGCUCUAUGUAGUUUUUCCACUACGAUGCAUCAUGACUUUAUCAUAAAUAUAAUUGUCUGAAAAACAUUUUUCUAAGUCCAAGAUGCAUUUCUUCUAAUGCGAUCAUUUCCCGGACAAGAUAAAUUAAUUUUGGUGGUUGUAGGCACAUGUUUAGAACCUCAAUUGAUUAGAUCUGGUGGCUACCUGGAUGGAAUUUUGAGCUUCAGGUGACUUAUCUGAUCUAAUUCGUAAAAUAACAUUCACAUAGUUGUCAUAACUUCUUCUCUUUUUAUCUUCUGAAAUUUUAUAUAUAAUCCGUUUCUUUCACCUUUUUGUCCACUUCUAAUCAUAGUGUUCCGUAUCUCUAAUCACAACAAUAACUUGUGUUAUAUAUUUGUUCGGGUACGUGUACCUUGAACAUGUUUAGUUUUACUCGUCUUAUAUUGCACUAUUCUGGCUUUUAAAUCAAAAGACUUUUCAAAAAAUAGUGUUUGAUAAAUUGAAAAGUGUUUGUAAGAAAUGUCAAAGAAACGCACCCUGAGCACCAUAUAGUUAAGGAUAUUCUACCACACAAUCAAGGACAUGUCAACUCGUUAUCCAUUUGUAAUGAAUACUUAAUUAAAACCAUAUUUUUCUUUUAAGCUUAAAUCUUCUACAUGCUACUCUUUUCAUAAAUUUCUUAUUUGUGUAUCUUAAAUAAAUACUUUUGAGAAUUAAUCCAAUUUGGAAGAAAGCUUGUUGAUUCUAAUUUUCCAGCUUCUGAUAUGUUAUUCUGUUUAUAUUUUAUUUACAUAUGUGCAAGGUGUUAGAGAUCUAAGAAAAUGGAAUGGUGGUUUUAAUUAGGAUUUAACUCCUUCAAAAUUGAAAUGUAUACAGAAUCUUUUUAAAUAUCUAAGAGAAAUAUAAACAUAAAAAAGAAAAAGGAACCUAAUGGAGGAAAAUAGCGUGCUACUGAGAUCAACAUUGAUUUCCCCCAAAUUAGUUGUUAAUUAUGGUGAGAAUAUAGACUCAAAUCUAAGUAGGCUUGAUUGCUUCAGCUUAAAAGGAAGUUUUAUUCUAUCACCUUAUCUAGAAACCCUUUAUUUUUAUAUUCAAUUUAGUUAGAAUUGAUUUUUUAAUCAUCCUAUAACCAAUAAAUAUAAGAAUAGCCAACGUGAUUAAAUCCUCCAAGAUCUUAGUUAAGAGGUUUUAAUUACAUUACUGUGGUGAUUAUGAAUGACUUAUGCUAGGAGUGAGGAGUCUUAACGUCUCUUCUCACAUAAAGUCCCUUUAGAUCAAAGCUCUUUGGACAAGCGGAUCUUGCUUCAAAGCCAUGGACAUGAAUUAGAAUGUAAAGCUACUUAUAAACAAACUUCUCCUUGGUGAAUCACUAAGGUGGCAUUCAUAGGUUGAAUUACGAGAACAUCCAAAAGUGCUAGUUAAUAGCUUCAAAGGAUAAAGGUAAUAUGAUUUUUUUAAGGGGAGGUCUAAGGUCUAUAUUUCAUAACAUUUUUGCCAAAAUCACAUCGUAGUAUCUUUUUAACCUCUAGAAAUUAUCUCUCUACAUUUGAUGAAUACUACCUAGAACUCAUCUAAGGUAUAUUAUAGCAAGGUCGAAACCUAUGUUUUACUUAGAUAAAACCAUGAUGGUUGAGUUAGGUUUUGGAUGAGUCCAUUUGGUCAGGUUACUUAUCUAGGUUUUGGUUGAUUAUGGAUAUAACUAGCUAUUGGACUAUGAAGAUGUCUAAGAUUAGGUAAUUAUGGUAAUGGACUGGACCUUGAACUCGGAAAUCAGAUACUUGUAGUAUCAAACAACGAUUGCUGAUUCGUUUAGCUAAGAUUGGUUUGAUUUGCAUUAGAUUAUUAUUAACAAGCUGAAAGGUAGUUUAGUCAUUUUUUUUGCAUGGUUUGUUCCAAAUAAAUUACCUCCAUCAUCAAAAGAUAAGAAGUGGUGCAUUCAAUGAUGAAUGGCACGCCAAAUGGAACUUGAUCACGAAAGCAAGCAUGCGGGCCUUUAUAAUUAUGUCAUCCGAGGCCCAGGAGGAUGUGCGAGUGACACUGGAUCACUGCUCCAUCAGAGAGUAUGGGCUUAUGGGUCCAAGUUGGGUUAGACAUUCUUAAUCUCGAGUCAGGCUCUGGCUUGCUCUUGGGUACCUCGCUACUCGGACUUGGAUCUGUUGGGAAUUCAUGCCUAUUAUUUUUAAUCCAAAUCCUACCCAUCAAACAUUUGGAUCGUGUUAGGACCGGAACCGAUUGGAUCAAAUACUAAUCAGAUCCACCUAUGAGUCUAAGACUCAAGGUGGCGGUAUUAAUUAAAACACAAAUUUUCAAACUUAAAAAUGGAGUUUGGAUCGUCUCCACACACGGACUCGAGAGGGCCGGUUGUCCUAUCACAAGCAUUUAUAUGGGGGCCCAUUCAAUUGUCACCAUCAUAUAAAUCAAGGAUAGCUGUGAUUGGAAAACUGGCCCUCUCCGGUCCAUGUACAAAACCGAGAGGAUCCCGACUCUUAAAAGUGUACAAUAAUAACAUAGGGUAUAUCCCAUAAGUUUCAUCAAAAUGCGAGAAAUACAAGUUGGACUGGCUUCAUGAUUAUCAAACCCCAUAAUCUAGUUUAUAGGUUCAGUCAAAAAACAAGAAAAAAAAGCCGUGCUCCAAUAUAUUUGUGAGCGAGAGAGGUAAGGUUUAGGUGGGAUAAAACUUAUGUAACCAAAUUUAAAAACACUCAUGGAUCUACCUUUGGGCCCAUACCUGAUCACAAGUCUGAGAGUCCAUAUCAGGUUAGAUCUGUCAGUCUUGUUGUUGGAUCCACUACGCUCAACCAGACGCCUAAAAACGGUUUUGGAGCAUGGAACAGGGUGGCGAAGGGUACAGAAACAGAGAGGGAAAACUGCGACUGGGAUUCGAUGGACUAGUAGAGAGAGAUUUGGCCGCUAGUGUUGGCAUUCCAGGCCAUGGAUGGCUGGCGGAAAACAACUACUACUCCACAGGAGAAGAGAGGGUUUAUGUUAUGUCCAUAUAUACCAGUACCAACCACUGGACUCGGUCAUUUGGAGUUCUUUAACGUACUCAAGCAUUCCUGUGUACAUAAAAUAACAUAUAUUUUUUAUAAUAUAAACAUGCUAUUUUAUUAAUAGUAUUUGCCUAAA
Long non-coding RNA from Elaeis guineensis (African oil palm), 5207 nucleotides. RefSeq lists it as uncharacterized. NCBI's taxonomy places the organism in Eukaryota, Viridiplantae, Streptophyta, Magnoliopsida, Arecales, Arecaceae. The record is from RefSeq and is a predicted model, not a curated record.